This is a long non-coding RNA of Anopheles coluzzii, 4857 nucleotides long. RefSeq lists it as uncharacterized. The record is from RefSeq and is a predicted model, not a curated record. The transcript is spliced from 3 exons. Lineage: Eukaryota; Metazoa; Arthropoda; Insecta; Diptera; Culicidae.
CAUUUUACAUGACUAAACUGAAGGGUAUUGUAAGAAGAUUAGAAUUAAUCAACUAAACAUUGCAGCAAAAUCAGGGAAGAGUAAGGCAGUGUGCUCUAACCACAUACAGACUACAGGUGGACGAAAUAUACUCCGUAUUUAGGAAAGAAGUAGGGACAAACUACGACAAAUACGACGAGACAGAAAUUAAAUUUUACAAUAAUAUCAUUCAAAAUUUAAUCACUAACAUAAUCGAAAGAAUUAACAAAGAGACAACUAACAACUCAGACGAUUUAAACGAGACUUUGAAAACAAAUAUACAUUCCGUGUUUCCGACAUUCCGUGCAGAAAUAUACAAAUAUUUCCGACAUUCCGUGCUCAAAGGCAACAAAGUAAGACCUACACAAACUUAAAAACCAAAAGAUAUUGUGGAUAUCAUAAGCGUAGGAGAAGGAACAAUAACAACUCAUGGGUCCACAAUUACGGAUGUAAUAGUGGAGGGAAAGACAAUCGAACAAUUAUUUCACAUCGUACCAGACAACUUCAAGAUACCGGCAGAUGGUAUACUUGGUAGAGAUUUUUUUAUGGAUCACCGAUGUAUAAUAAAUUAUGAUACUUUGAUUUUCUCUGUAAAACACGAUGGAGAGUUUUUGGAAACACUCAUUGAAGAUACUAUCAAUGGCAAAACACUCAUACCUCCCAGAUGUGAAGUAAUUAGAAAACUAGAUAAGUUAAAAGAAUUAGAUACGGAUGCGGUAGUAUGCGCAGAGCAACUGCAAGAAGACAUUCUUGUAGGAAACUGCAUUGUAAAUAAAAACUACCCAUUUAUUAAAAUAAUCAAUACUUCUAAUAAAGCUAAAUUAGUAAACAUAAGCCAUAUCAAAACAAUACCUUUAAAUGAAUUUGAAAUCGUAAAAACUAAUAAUCAUAAGAAUGAAAAUAGGUUAGCAAUCAUAAAGAAAUUAAUCCGAAAGGAAAACAUUUCCGAAGAUACAGAUACAUCUUUUGAACAAUUACUGUUAAGCUACAAUGAUAUUUUCACCUAUCUAAUGAUCAUUUAACUACAAAUAAUUUUUAUAAACAAGAUAUUAAAUUAGAAGAUAAAAGACCCGUGUACAUACCGAAUUAUAAACAAAAUCAUUCCCAAGGACCAGAAAUCAAAAAGCAAAUUGAAAAAAUGCUUCAAGAUGAUAUAAUAGAACACUCGGUGUCACUAAAAGAGAAAAGAUCUGUGUGUCAGUGUCGGAAGUUCUUUUUUUUCCUCGUCUUCAAAAGGGUGUACUGCCAGCGCGUUGGCAACGGACUCGAUCUAUCGUCUGAUCGAGCCAAAAAAGGUUUUGUAAACGCCUCGAAGUUUUACAGAUAUGCUACAGCAUUGUCCUAUAAUUUUGAUACUAGUGUAGCGGGCGAGAAUUCUUUCGAACGACGAACGACAAAGAAAAGGGGACUAUGAAAGUUAGGUGAAGUAUGGCCACGAUCGAACUCUCGAUCGCGCUUUUAUUAUGUGCUAAAUUUGGGACACGGACGAGGGGGUGAGGCGGGUUCUGGAUCGGGCUGCGUACAUCGUCGUCGUCAGCAAGUUGGGUUGGUGGAGGUUCGACGCUCGGGCGGAUCAUUCGGAGGGGAAGGCAUCGAGUGACCGAUCGUUGGCAUGUUCUGAUUCUGGUUGCGCCAUGAGGUGUCGUCAGCAAGUUGGGUUGGUGGAGGUUCGAAGCACGGGCGGAUCAUUCGGUGGGGAAGGCAUCGCGUAACCGAUCGUUUCACUGUCGGUGCCGUUCUGUCAGUUCGGUCAUCGGUGGUCGGCCGGGUUUCAGGUGUGCGUUGAACCCCACGCUAUGAGGUAACUAUGCUGACAGUGUAUAGUUGCCAUUCUGCCAGUUCAACGUUGGUCAUUGGUGGUCGGCCGGGUUUCAGGUGUGCGUUGAACCCCACGCUAUGAGGUAGCUAUGCUGACCGUUGGCUCUGGGUUCCAGGUUCGUCUUUGGACAGCACGCGAGGCACGUGUCGUGGGUGGUAUAAUGUCAUUGGAAGCGACAAGAAACAAAAAGGGUCGCUUCACUAGAAAAGGUUUAACUCGGCUUAGAUCUUUGUUAGACGUUGUUGCUUCCUUCCAAUACUAUAAUGCCUAUACUUCCAUUUUCCUUUCCUUUAAUUCCUAUCAGAACGAAAUUAUGAGAAAAAAACCUUCUGCAAUGCAUGUCAUUAUUCUUGACCCAUUUUCUUGAAAAAAAGUGUUCGAUUGUUUAGUCUUUUCUUUUUCGAAAACUCGUAUUGGAACGAUUUUUGAUUGGUUUGUGUUGGUACAUCCAGUUUUUUCCCCCAAAAUAAGCCAAUUUCAUCACAAUAAAAACAAUGUAUUGGCAUCAAAUCUACAACACUGGCACAGCACAUUUGUCAUCAAAGAAUCUCGUCCAAUUGGCAGUAAUUGGCAGGAGAAACUCUCCCCUUCAUGAUCAAGUAUAUGCAGAAAAGCGUGCAAGAAACACUUGUCAAUAUAUACCACACACUUUUGCAUACGACUCUGUUCCAACUGGCAAUAGUUUUCUACUAAAUGAUGAUAAGUAUCUUAACUAUUAUUUGCCUGAGCGAAAAUCAAAAUUAAAGUAAUGCUCAAUGCAAACCGCACGUGAUCCUGAUUUCACAUCGGCACCGAAUAUGUGCCAUAGACACAAAUUAUAUUGCUCGUAAUGCAAAAAGAAAAAAAAACUCGUUAUGAGCGGUUCUAUUGUUUUUUUUUUACAAUAUUUGGCGAAUGCGACAUUUUAGUUUGAUAAAUUAUAUUAAAUACAAUUUCCAUUGAUUCUCUUGAAAAAUCAACAUAGUCAUUUUUAUCUGUACUCAAAGUAAUAAAACCUAGCACCAAGGAAACGCUGUGCAAGCAUACGUAACAUAUUGAAGGUUCAUAUGUGUAGCAAAGUGCAGCUGAGCAAACUUUGCAACAGGAAAAUUAAUCAAACAAUUCAGCACAGCCGAAACACCAUCUCGUUUAGGACCAUUAUCGCUAUCCUAAAUAAACGAUAACCUCUUUAAGAAGCGAAAAACGAAAUAAUCAUAACAUAUUCUGCAUACGCGCACAACCUGGUGCAAUACAUAUAGCGUUCGUGGUGCAAGCGCAACCAAAUGCGCAAGAAUGUCAAAUUAUAAUGCGGGCUACACCCGCACGCCCUAGGUACGAAAUCAGUUGAAAUAACUAAACACCAAUGAAUAUCCAUAUAUUGGAAAGAAUCGAGAGUUGGCAAAUGCAGAUACACAUGAGCAUAAUGUCAAAUAGUUGCCAAAAAAGAACGAUAGCCAACAGGAAAUGCGUUCCGACGCUUUAGGUGCAUUUCCAUAGAUAGGUAGGACAGGUAGGACAGGUACAUAGACUGUUAGAAUAAUUAGUUUAUAAGAAAAUAUUGUAGAAAUAAUGUCAAUAUAAAAAAAAUAACAGUCAAAUGACAGUGCGUAACGACACUUGUUAACAAGCGUAGUUCAGUGCUUUGUCAUCAUAACUACGAUCAAAGAUACCGUUGAUCGGUUUUCAGAAUCGGUAAUAAAAUUGUCAUGCAGUUGAAAGUUCAAACAUUACGUGCGUGUGUUAUAAUCAUUUCGCCUUUACACUUAAAAUGUGUUUCAUUAUGUUUUCCGAUGACGACGAAAUACAGGAAAAAAGAUUUGCGUAAAAAACGUAGAGUUUUACGGAAAAAAGCAGAUCCUUUUAAACUAUCAGACAACAGCGUAAGUAAAAUAAAAUGGUGUUUGAUUAAAAUUUUAAUUUCUUCGUUUAUUUGUAGGUUUCUUCAAUGUUCCAGGGUUACAAAACCAAUUUUUUCGUUUAUUUGCUGCUUGUUUGAUUUUCUUUGCAGAGGGUAGAUAUCAGCACGGAACUGGACAAGACUUCCACGUAGCCACAAACAACGUUUUCAAACACUGCGAGAUUUGAUACCACCUCAUAUCACACUAUUGGGCGAUUGGAUACAAUUGAAUAUGACAGAAUCUGAAAGAAUGGAGGCAAAACAAUAUUUCUUUGAAAGGUCGGGAAUAUCAGACGUGGUGAUGUGUGUAGAUGGGGCCCACAUAAGGAUAGUAAAACCCAAAUAUCGCCCCCUUUGCUAUAUCAAUAGAAAACAAUAUUACAGCCUCAAUGCUAUGAUUGUUUGUGAUCACAAAUAUCGCAUCAGAGCUGCGGACGCUAGAUUUGCAGGAUCUCAUCAUGACGCUUUUACUUGGAGUAUUAGUCCCAUUCGCAAACAUUUUAGAGAUCUACAUAAUAACUUCUGGAAUAACUGACAAGUUGUUGGGAGAUGCAGGGUAUCCUUCCGAAACAUGGCUUAUAACAACCAAUCGUAACCCAGAUUCAGGCACACAAGAAUCUAUUUUUAAUAUAUUUUAUGCCAGAGGACGAAACAUCGUUGAGAGAACAAUAGGAAUACUGAAAUCCAAAUUUAGAUGCUUGCUUGGAACAGAUGGGCGUCUCAAUUAUUCGCCAAAAAAGUGCACAAAUGUUAUAAACAUAUGUUGUGCACUACACAACAUAUGUAUAGAAAACAACAUUGGUUGGCAGCAGAAUCUUGAUGAAAUGUGUUUGUUUAUAAAUGAUUAAAUUAAAAACGAUAUAAUAAAAAAAACAUUAAUCCCAGCAUAAAUAUUCUAAUGUUUUCAUAUGCUUCAUGUAUCGUAAAUGUUGGGAACUAAAACCAAGGCGGAUUAAAUUUCUUGCCAAAACUAUUUAUUACACGCGCCAAAAAAAUUGUCGGUUUUCCGCGGUUGGUUUAGAACAGGGGCUCGUUCCUGUCUUGCGGCCUUUUGAAACCCUUUUCUUCGGUUACGCUUCGUGCCUUGAUCGUUUCACGCCUACGCUUGUUGUAAAUGUCCCGUUUAUGACAGGUAGUUGGAUAC